CUAGCCAACUUUUUUUUUUCUUUUGGCGAUAUAAAUUUCAUGGACAGGCACAGCCCGCUCUGUCACGUUCUCUAUCGAAUAGUAGCAUACAAAUACUACUAUGGAAAGCACUCCACUGCAGGUUAAUUAAAGGUAUGGGAUUAGGCCUUGUUUAGUUACACCCAAAAGACAAAAACUUUUUAAGAUUUCCUGUUAUUAAAAUUUUGCGGCACAUAUAUAUAAAGCAUU
This 228-nucleotide long non-coding RNA is filed under the name Sorghum bicolor (sorghum). RNAcentral describes it as "long non-coding RNA (SBIC_LNC011231)". The record is from RNAcentral. Lineage: Eukaryota; Viridiplantae; Streptophyta; Magnoliopsida; Poales; Poaceae.